UACGUAGGGGGCAAGCGUUGUCCGGAUUCAUUGGGCGUAAAGAGCGUGUAGGCGGCCAGGUAGGUCGGUUGUGAAAACUGGAGGCUCAACCUUCAGAAGUCGACCGAAACCAUCUGGCUAGAGUCCGGGAGAGGAGAGUGGAAUUCCUGGUGUAGCGGUGAAAUGCGCAGAUAUCAGGAGGAACACCGGUGGCGAAGGCACUUUACUGGGCUAUUACUAACACUCAGAGACGAAAGCUAGGGUAGCAAAUGGG
RNAcentral lists this ribosomal RNA (253 nucleotides) under uncultured bacterium. RNAcentral describes it as "partial 16S ribosomal RNA". It matches the Rfam family "Bacterial small subunit ribosomal RNA", at positions 524 to 776 of the family's 1533-position model. The record is from RNAcentral.